AAAGUAGCCAGGUGUUAAGAGUUUCAAGCCACUGAGAGUUUUAACCCUCUUAAGUGUGUGUUUCUCAUGUUCCUUUACUUACCUGUGCUAGUAGAAACUGCAGGACCUCCUGAAGGCUGAGGUGACAGGCAUAUCAGAGACCAUUUUCAUUUCAUUUUCAUAUGUAUUACACUACUCAGUCUUGUCCUGUAUAAACAACAGUGCAUCAUCCCUGCAGAGAACUGACUGCCGUUUCAGACUUCAGAAGAUGAAGCUGUGAGCUGCUGAAGGGUCAGUGCCACCUAACAGGUUAGGAGGGAGAUCCCAAGGUGCAAACAAAUCUGAGGUGGGGAAAAAUUAGAAUAAACUUCCUGAUAACAAGUUUAGCACUAACUUUGAUUCCUUUUGUGAUCAAUGUACAGCAGUCGAGUAUCUAAAUACCAGAGUCUCAAAUACCAGGGAAGAGUUUCACUGUCUGAGUUGUCUGGAAGUUUUGAACCUGCUUUUGAUUCAGAUGAGAUGAGGCUCAGCCCCAAUUACUUCACCUGGUUCUCUUUUUAGAAAUGCAUCAGCACCAAUGCUUUUAGUCUAGUCUUACUUUCUAUCACAACGUGCAUUCACAGAAGGAAAGCCUUGGCAGAUUCUGGCCCCUCAGUUCAGGAUAAGAAGCACAUCAUCUGCCGUAGAAAAAAAUCUGAGGGAGUUUGUAAUCCUGUUAAGCAACAAAGGAGGGAAGCGUGUUUUAGUUCUGGUAAGUUUUAUUAAGUGCCAUAUAAUAUCUAUCUUAUUCCUUCAUGUUUCAGUCCUUGGAUUGUCAGUGCUGCCACAAGUCUAGCUAUCAAGCUGUCUGAAGUAUUUGUUUGAUUCAUGAAUUUGUGCCUUGGCAGCCUCCUCAAACACUGAUGUUGGUGGAUUUUUAAACUACUGAUACUUUCAAGACUGGCUGCUGAUGCCCGUUCAAUUUUCUUUUUAUUUUUCCGAGAGCACAGUAAUUUUUAGUGAUUUCGGGUUUUUUGUUGUUGUUGUUUUGUUUGUUUGUUUUGUUUUUUGGCUCAUUUUGGAGGAAACUACAAACUGUCCUUCCAAAGAAGGACACCAGUGAUCGCCGAGGUAGCAGAGAAGCGGCGCUGGCGUCGCCUGGGCGAUGGCGGGAGAUUUAAACGGGCGCAAGCGCUGAAAAAGCCCUUGAUCGCCAUGAUUAGCCCUUGAUCGCCGACGUUAGCAGCUUCAGAGCUGCCCCAGCCGGAACCGCAGCGACUGAUAGGGAGGUACAGGUGUGUUUCGGCUCCUUCAUCCAGGGAACACUGAGCUUAACAGAGCAGCCCGGCAGGUCUCGUGUUGGCGGUUGACGCGGCUGACGUGCGGUGGGCGUUGCCUGGGCAACGGCUCUGCAUCACACAGCCCCUGCCUAGGAAAAGCAACGGUGCAUCGCUGCCCAUCAGACACGGAGAGGAGGAGUCAAGGCUAUUCUUACAAAAUCAAACUAAGCUUGAAAAUCAUCUGUUCACAGGAUGACAAAGAACUGGAAGAUUUUCAGAUGGUUCAUGAGAAACACAGCAGGAGCAACAGUAAAACAUUAAUUUGUUCAUUUCAAGAGAUCUGCUGCUCUGCUGAUAGUGUCACAAGCCAUAUUUGCAGCUGAACAGCAGGUCCAGGAUUGUGCUUCCCCCUUGUUGGCUCCUUCACCAGCUGCAUCAGGAAGUUAUCUCCCACAAACUCUAGGAACCUCUAGGACUGCUCCCCAUCUGCUGCUGCACCCAACCAACUCUCACAGGGCACAACAUGGUCACUGGCACAGCGCUGUGCCAAAUCUGGGAAGAACGGAAAGGUCUUAAAGGAGUUCCUGGCAAUGGGAGGUACGUUUUCAGGGCCUCAUGGGCAGAAUGAGGUCAGAAAUGCUCCUUUCAGGUAUGGGAAUGAAAGGCAUUCAACAAGGACUCAGCCACGUGUGCACAAACUCUGAGAAGGAAGGAGAGCUCCUCCUACUGUACUAUAGGGCACUGCUCCUCCUUCCUCUCAUUACCUCCUGUCUGGCUCCAGAUGGAGAUGUGAGAAAGGCAAUGACUGUGAUCUUCAUGAUCACAUGGCCUAAGUACCAAUGGGCACAAACUUAAGAUCAACUCAUUGCUUUCAGUAUUACAUAAAUGGUGGAAGGCAGCAACCCCAUUCCCAAGACAGAACCAGCCCUGCUACAUCAUGGCCAUGUUAAAAGGGGCAGCCACCAGCUGCAGCAACUACAGUGCAGCUGAAAUAACCAUGUCGAAAGAGAACACUGCUGCUGGUGGAUGGGUUCCAGAGCCAGCUUGGUGUCACAGCAGCAAAGAAUAAUGACCAGAAGGGCAGAGCCAGCCAGAGUUCUAUGCCCAGUAACCAAGGGAGUCAAGGCUGGGGUGGUCAGGAGCAGCCAUGGGAAUGUAUGGAAGCUGCUCCUCCUGUCCUGAAAGACACACCAAGGGAUACGGAAACAGAAAGCUGGCAAUAAGCUACUGUAGUACCACGCAUUCGUCUACAAAAAAGAAGGAAGUCCUCUACAGCACAGAGAAGUCAACUGAAAACUAAGUCCCACCAUGAAACGAAAAAACUCUGGAAAAUAACGACUGACCAACUAACUGACAAGGAAAACAUUUAAGAAGAGCAAUCCGGUGAGCAGGCCUGUGCAGGGGAGGGUAGGAUAGGGAAGAGGACCAGGAGGCUGCUCCUCCUGUGCUUCCCAUCUGCCUUGCAGAUGGACAGCCCGACACGAAUGGAAAGAGGUGAUCCCAAAGGCAAGAGAUGAAACUCAACAACUGCUGUUCAUGUCCUACAAAAAAAGAUGA
Phasianus colchicus (ring-necked pheasant) is the source of this 2795-nucleotide long non-coding RNA. RefSeq lists it as uncharacterized. Lineage: Eukaryota; Metazoa; Chordata; Aves; Galliformes; Phasianidae. The record is from RefSeq and is a predicted model, not a curated record.